AUAUUAUUAUUAUUAUUAUCAUUCAGUAUUAUAAAAUAUUGAUAAAAAUAUUGUCUAGAUUUUUCAGACAUCUUAGAAGUCUUCUUUUUCUUCAGGGAAAAAGAGAACCCUAAAUAUCAAUUAUAAUCAGAAUUUCACAGCAAGUAAAAAUACCUGUGUGUUAAUGAAAUUAAUCCUUAAUGAACCAGAUGACAAUGACUAUUUGAUAUCUGACCUUAAUUUUUUAAACCAGGCAUCAAAACACUUAGAAGUGGGUAGGCAGGGUGAGUACAGAAGAGGAGUGGUGGAAUUCCCUUUACUGUAGGUUAGUUGGAAAGAGAGAAUCAAGAUUCAUAUGACUCUCAGGCAAAAAGAGUGGGAAGAGAUAGACUGAAAUCUCCAUAUUCACAGGUAAGAACAGACAUUUCUUGGCCCAAAUGAUAAAGCAAUGUUCAGCUCUUCUAGUCAAGUCGCCCAUACUGUGGAAUUCCAAGGAAACAGUCUUCACUCCUGUUAAGUGAUAUUCCUGGCCAUUGUCAAUGCGCAAGUCCCACAACAAGGCAGAGACAUUCAUGCUCUUCAUUAACAUUCCCCUAAGGUCUCAGUUUGCAUCUCUCUAUCCAUCUCCUAGCUCUGAAAGGAAGUUUCCUGGGAAACCUUUUCUAUGAAUGGAAUGGAUGAGGUUUGUCCCAUGAGGGAAGAAUUAAAAAAAAAAAAAACAAAAAACACACAGACACACACAACAACAACACAGUACAACAAAAAAACUUCUUUCCCACUGCAGCCAGGAGCAGAUUACGCCUAUCUUUUUUCAAGGACAGGUGGAAAUUCUGACCAUGUGGUAUUCAGUCAUACUAGGAAUGUUGCUCUCUCAAUUUAACAGGAGAGCUUCCUUUCUUACUGAUUAAAAAAGUCAAAAGGGGUUUAAAAUUGCUUAGGUAAAAAGAACUAUGGUUGAGUUUUCUCAGCCACAGAUAAACAUUGGCUCUUUCUGAUCUGCUCUGUUGUCAGCUAUGUAAUGACUCAGUUUGUGCAUUGUUCUCCUUGUUCAGAACAGAAGGGAGAGUAAACCUUAUCCACAGGCUCCUGUUACAAGUAGACCUUCCCCUUCCAUCAGAGGUGGGCUUUGUGCGACACAGUCAGGACAUUCACAAAUUAAAAGAUGAAGAACAGCCCACAUUUUCACCAGCUAUUGAUAUUCCCUAUCCCAGUAAACCAUGGGUUUUCGUCUGAGUAUUUUUUUCCAACUUAAAGAGAGAGAGAGAAAGAGAGAAUAUGUAGGCUAACCAGCUCUAUUGCUAACAAAAGAAAUAGUUAAGAGAGGAAAACAACCAGGGAUGAAAAUCAGGCUUUUAUUUGAAUCUUCUUGCUUCUUUUCAGCACCAGCUUCCUGGCUAACUUGAGCAUCCUAUUCCUGAGCUGGUUGAAAUAUGCCUUUUUUAAAAAAACAACUUUAAUGAGAUAUAAUUUACAUACCAUAAAAUUCAUCUGUUUAAAGUAUGGGACUCAAUGGACCCAGUGGUUUUUAGUAUAUUUAUAGAUUUGUUCAACCAUUACCAUAAUCAAUUUUAUAACAUUUUCAUCAAUCCAAAAGGAAGCCCAGUACCCAUUUGCUGACACUCCCCAUUCUCCCCACUCCACCACCAGCCCUAAGCAGCCACGAAUCUACCUUCUGUCUCUAGAGAUUUGUCUAUUGGAUCUUUCAUACAGAAGCAUGCAAUAAUGUGAUUUGUUUGUUUGUUUUGUUUUUCUCAUGUUUUUUAUUUCUUUAUUUUUUUUAUUAUACUUUAAGUUUUAAGGUACAUGUGCACACGUGCAGGUUAGUUACAUAUGUAUACAUGUGCCAUGUUGGUGUGCUGCACCCAUUAACUCGUCAUUUAACAUUAGGUAUAUCUCCUAAUGCUAUCCCUCCCCCCUCCCCCCACCGCACAACAGGCCCCGGUGUGUGAUGUUCCCCUUCCUGUGUCCAUGUGUUCUCAUUGUUCAGUUCCCACCUAUGAGUGAGAACAUGCGGUGUUUGGUUUUUUGUCCUUUAGAUAGUUUGCUAAGAAUGAUGGUUUCCAGCUUAAAUGUGAUCUUUUAUGACUGGUUUCUUUCACACAGAAUAAUGUUUUCAAGGUUCAUCCAGGCUGUAGCAGCACUUCAUUUCUUUGUAUUGCCAAAUACUAUUCCAUUGUGUGACUAUAACACAUUUUAUGUACCCUUUCAUCUUUUGAUUGACAUUUGGGUUGUUCCCACUUUUUGACACUUAUGAAUAAUGAUGUUGUGAAUAUUCGUGUAUAAACUUUUGUGUGGACAUAUAUUUUCAUUUCUCUUUGGUAUUGACCUAAUAGUGGGAUUGCAAGGUUGUGUGUUUAACACUAUGUUAAAUAUUUUUAGGAAGCCCCAAGCUGUUUUCCAAAGUGGUUGUACCAUUUUACAUUCUCACCAGCAAUGUACCAGGGUAAGACUUAUUUGCAAUUUUCUCCUGCUUAUAGAAUUCUAAAGCUAUGUAAAAGGUUAGAAAUGUAACAGGUGGGUCAUUUUGAUACUUAUUUAGAAAGCCUACUUUUUCUUUCCAAACUACAAACAUUUCUGUUGUCUAAUGAGCAGAUGCUACCAGCUAAUGAAGCAGGAAUACUAAUUUCUUAUUUGAUUCAUAAUAAUAUUCAGUAAUUACAGAGGAAUCUUUACUUAUCUAGCUUUCUGUGUAUAUGUGUUCUACAGUACUAAUUUUUCUUUCUUUUCUUUUAAAAAUUCACCUUCCUUACUGCUUUGUUAUUUAAUGAUUUGUUCUGAUUAUAGACCAUUAAUGCCUGUUUAAAAAAAAAGUCCACAUGUGCAUUUCAAUACCUCUUUUAUUUUAUACUGAUUCAAAGCAAUUCAAUUCUUCAUUCCUAAAAACAUUUAGGCUGAGGCAUAAAAUAGCCAAUUUAAACGAAGUAACAUUUAGUCUUUGAAAUUGCCGUAUAUGUAUUCUUCAUUUAUGCCUACCUGAAAAUGUCAGGUAUGAAAUGAAUUUUAGUGACUCAAUUGUUAUUCUAUAGGCAAAUCCUUAUCUUAUAAACAUACUAGAUAACUUUAUAAGAUAAAUCUGUUUCUAAGACAAAAUUUGUCCAUAAUUCUGAAUUUCUUUCUUUCUUUAUUUACUUAAUGAAAAGGAUGUUUCAUGAACCUUCUAAUUCUUUCCUACUGUGGAUGUUAGUUGGCAUUUUGUAUUGAAUUUCAACAUUUGAGAAUAAGUCAUGGGUCCAGCUAAUCUGCAUAGACCAAUUUGGAGCAGCAUCCUUAAUGAGUGGUGAACUUUCUCUGUUCUCCAGACAAUAUCAACUCUGCCACUUGAAACCAAGGCUUCUAAUGACAUGAACUGAAGGAAAAGUCUUGAUUUCAGAUUUUUGUUUGGCCUGUUUCAUCUCCAUUUGCCGACCCUGGAUUACGCAGAUAGUGCACUGCUUUUAGUAAUCUAGGCCCUUGUGCCAGACCUUGACUGUCAUACUGCAUUAUAACUGAUGGUUCAAAUGCUUCUUUUACAUAAGGAGUAUUUUCUUCCCAGAGAUACCUCUAAGAUAUUCAUGGCUAACUAAAAAUACUCCUGAAUGCUGUUCUCAAGUAGAGUUUCAAGGUCAACAUGAAAAUUGUUAUCACUCUCUUAUGUGACAUAAAAAAAUCUGUUUUAUCUUUGUAACAAUGCUUUCAUUAAAAAAAAAAAAAAGCUUUGCAAUUCCUCUGCUACACUAGUGUUUUCUCAGAUACCAAACAGGCUAUGCCUUGAUGGCAAG
This 3737-nucleotide long non-coding RNA is filed under the name Homo sapiens (human). Its description in RNAcentral is "HSALNT0328975". Lineage: Eukaryota; Metazoa; Chordata; Mammalia; Primates; Hominidae. The record is from RNAcentral.